This 459-nucleotide ribosomal RNA is filed under the name uncultured bacterium. Its description in RNAcentral is "partial 16S ribosomal RNA". It matches the Rfam family "Bacterial small subunit ribosomal RNA", at positions 338 to 795 of the family's 1533-position model. The record is from RNAcentral.
CCUACGGGAGGCAGCAGUGAGGAAUAUUGGUCAAUGGCCGAGAGGCUGAACCAGCCAAGUCGCGUGAGGGAAGACGGCCCUACGGGUUGUAAACCUCUUUUGUCGGGGAGCAAAGCGAGUCACGUGUGACUCAUUGAGAGUACCCGAAGAAAAAGCAUCGGCUAACUCCGUGCCAGCAGCCGCGGUAAUACGGAGGAUGCGAGCGUUAUCCGGAUUUAUUGGGUUUAAAGGGUGCGCAGAGGGAGGUGCAAGUCAGCGGUCAAAUUGCGGGGCUCAACCCCGUACUGCCGUUGAAACUGCAGCCCUUGAGUGCGCGAGAAGUAUGCGGAAUGCGUGGUGUAGCGGUGAAAUGCAUAGAUAUCACGCAGAACUCCGAUUGCGAAGGCAGCAUACCGGCGCGCAACUGACGCUCAUGCACGAAAGCGUGGGUAUCGAACAGGAUUAGAUACCCCAGUAGUC